UGGCGCUUAAGGAGGAGCUCGCGGCCUAUCAGCUAGUUGGUGAGGUAAUGGCUCACCAAGACAAUGAUCAAUAGCUGAUCUGAGAGGAUGAUCAGCCACACUGGGACUGAGACACGGCCCAGACUCCUACGGGAGGCAGCAGUGGGGAAUCUUGCACAAUGGAGGAAACUCUGAUGCAGCGAUGCCGCGUGAGUGAAGAAGGCCUUUGGGUUGUAAAGCUCUUUUGUAGGGGAAGAUAAUGACUGUACCCUAAGAAUAAGGUCCGGCUAACUUCGUGCCAGCAGCCGCGGUAAUACGAAGGGACCUAGCGUAGUUCGGAAUUACUGGGCGUAAAGCGCGCGUAGGCCGUUGAGUUAGUUAAUUGUGAAAUCCCAAAGCUUAACUUUGGAACUGCAAUUAAAACUGCUCGACUAGAGUUUGAUAGAGGAAAGCGGAAUACAUAGUGUAGAGGUGAAAUUCGUAGAUAUUAUGUAGAACACCAGUUGCGAAGGCGGCUUUCUGGAUCAACACUGACGCUGAGGCGCGAAAGUAUGGGUAGCAAAGAGGAUUAGAUACCCUCGUAGUCCAUACCAUAAACGAUGAUUGCUAGAUGUUGGAAAUUUAUUUUCAGUAUCGCAGCUAACGCAUUAAGCAAUCCGCCUGGGGAGUACGACCGCAAGGUUAAAACUCAAAUGAAUUG
This 679-nucleotide ribosomal RNA is filed under the name uncultured bacterium. RNAcentral's name for it is "SSU rRNA". It matches the Rfam family "Bacterial small subunit ribosomal RNA", at positions 213 to 912 of the family's 1533-position model. The record is from RNAcentral.